Molecule: unclassified non-coding RNA, 314 nt
Filed under: uncultured fungus
Lineage: Eukaryota; Fungi
Description: partial contains 5.8S ribosomal RNA and internal transcribed spacer 2
Rfam family: 5.8S ribosomal RNA (bases 1-133)
Source: RNAcentral
UGGUUUUGGCAUCGAUGAAGAACGCAGCGAAAUGCGAUAAGUAAUGUGAAUUGCAGAAUUCAGUGAAUCAUCGAAUCUUUGAACGCAUAUUGCGCCUCCUGGUAUUCCGGGAGGCAUGCCUGUUUGAGCGUCAUUACAACCCUCACGCUUCGCGUGGUAUUGGGCUCGCCGUUUAGGCCUGCCUCAAAAUCAGUGGCGGCGACAUCGAACCCCUAAGCGUAGUAAUACUCGCAGCUUCUGGGAGGCGGUAGUAGCUAGCUAGCAACCCCCAAUCUACAAAGGUUGACCUCAGAUCAGGUAGGGAUACCCGCUGA